This 492-nucleotide ribosomal RNA is filed under the name uncultured bacterium. RNAcentral describes it as "partial 16S ribosomal RNA". It matches the Rfam family "Bacterial small subunit ribosomal RNA", at positions 29 to 507 of the family's 1533-position model. The record is from RNAcentral.
AGUGAACGCUGGCGGUAGGCCUAACACAUGCAAGUCGAACGGCAGCACAGUAAGAGCUUGCUCUUACGGGUGGCGAGUGGCGGACGGGUGAGGAAUACAUCGGAAUCUACUUUUUCGUGGGGGAUAACGUAGGGAAACUUACGCUAAUACCGCAUACGACCUACGGGUGAAAGCAGGGGAUCUUCGGACCUUGCGCGAUUGAAUGAGCCGAUGUCGGAUUAGCUAGUUGGCGGGGUAAAGGCCCACCAAGGCGACGAUCCGUAGCUGGUCUGAGAGGAUGAUCAGCCACACUGGAACUGAGACACGGUCCAGACACCUACGGGAGGCAGCAGUGGGGAAUAUUGGACAAUGGGCGCAAGCCUGAUCCAGCCAUACCGCGUGGGUGAAGGAGGCCUUCGGGUUGUAAAGCCCUUUUGUUGGGAAAGAAAAGCAGCAGGUUAAUACCCCGCUGUUCUGACGGUACCCAAAGAAUAAGCACCGGCUAACUUCGUG